This 404-nucleotide ribosomal RNA is filed under the name uncultured bacterium. RNAcentral's name for it is "bacterial SSU rRNA". It matches the Rfam family "Bacterial small subunit ribosomal RNA", at positions 355 to 776 of the family's 1533-position model. The record is from RNAcentral.
UGGGGAAUAUUGGACAAUGGGGGAAACCCUGAUCCAGCAAUGCCGCGUGAGUGAUGAAGGCCCUUGGGUUGUAAAGCUCUUUCGCCUGCGAAGAUAAUGACGGUAGCAGGAUAAGAAGUCCCGGCUAACUCCGUGCCAGCAGCCGCGGUAAGACGGAGGGGACUAGCGUUGUUCGGAAUGACUGGGCGUAAAGGGUGCGUAGGCGGCCUCUUAAGUAAGGCGUGAAAUCCCCGGGCUUAACCUGGGAAUUGCGCUUUAGACUGAGAGGCUUGAGUAUGAGAGAGGGAAGUGGAAUUCCUAGUGUAGGGGUGAAAUCCGUAGAUAUUAGGAAGAACACCAGAGGCGAAGGCGACUUCCUGGAUCAUUACUGACGCUGAGGCACGAAAGCGUGGGGAGCGAAAAGG